Molecule: long non-coding RNA, 1084 nt
Organism: Andrographis paniculata
Lineage: Eukaryota; Viridiplantae; Streptophyta; Magnoliopsida; Lamiales; Acanthaceae
Exons: 6
Source: RefSeq, a predicted model, not a curated record
AUUACAGAGUAGCCUCCGAUCCGAGCUGUCAUUGCCUUCACCAAUUCUCCGCCAUCGCCUCCAUCCUCGCUCCGCCGUCGUUGGUGGAAGGUAGCCCAAAAAUCAUCAUUAACUGGCAACAUUCACCACCUAGGUUCGAAGACGGUCAUUCGCGCUGCAUUUUAGGGCACAAAAUCGACGGGAAUGGUCUAGCAUGGCGAACAAUUUGAGCGUGAAGGUGCAUAGGGGCUGAUAUUGUCUUUGGAGAUCACUUACGGCUAGAGGACCAUCAUUUUACCUGUGUCUGCUUAUGGAAAUGGCGAAAUCCAACCGAGGAAAAACAACUGCUUCUCAAGAUCUUGUUAGCUCACCACUGCACCAUGAAACUAGGGCUCUUGCCUAUGCCACUUCAUCACCAUCGGCUAAGGUUGUUCCAACUAAACCUUCUCCCUUACAAGUACACGAACUGGGGCGCACGUAUCACAUCUUCUAGACCGUUUACGCAUGAUUACCAAAGAGUGGGAAAAAGAGCGUGACGCCAGGUCGAUAUUAGCUACAACUCAUUCCAUAGUCCGUUGGAGUCUUCUUCAGGGAUCGCAAGCAACGGAUGAGGAAGAGUCGGAUCGGAGGAUGACGAGACAAUUGGUUCAACUGAAGAUCAAGUUCCAACUAAUUGCAAUCUUGAUGAUGAAGGGGAAACACACCAAGCAGAGGCUGAGAAACUCCGGGAAACAUUAGGCAAUGACAUUCGCGAAGGAUAAAGGCUAAAUGUAAAGAACCUGAUAGCUUGGAAAUUUGGGUGGCAUCCCACAUUAAGGGACAACAAGCCGACAAUGAGAUGACGGAUGAUAUUUUGAAAUAUCUCAAUUCUGAACUCAACAAAAUCCUAGCAGACAAGAGAACACCAGCCAUCUGUGAGUCUUUGUACUGACGUGCUCUUGUAGGGAAAAGAAAACGACGAUCAUCGGUUGAUAGUGCAGCAACCUCUGCCAAACCUAAGACUCAGUUCCCUAGCCUUGUCGAUAGUGAGGCCAUGCAAUCACUAGUAGAGAAAUUUCACAAUGGUAUUGUUGAGAUGAAGGUACCCUUGUCUGAAAUUAAAGCU